Molecule: ribosomal RNA, 402 nt
Filed under: uncultured bacterium
Lineage: Bacteria
Description: bacterial SSU rRNA
Rfam family: Bacterial small subunit ribosomal RNA
Source: RNAcentral
UAUUGGACAAUGGGCGAAAGCCUGAUCCAGCAAUACCGCGUGUGUGAAGAAGGCCUUAGGGUUGUAAAGCACUUUCAAUUGGGAGGAAAACCUACCGGUCAAUACCCGGUAGCUUGACAUUACCUUUAGAAGAAGCACCGGCUAACUCCGUGCCAGCAGCCGCGGUAAUACGGAGGGUGCGAGCGUUAAUCGGAAUUACUGGGCGUAAAGCGUGCGUAGGCGGUUCGUUAAGUCAGAUGUGAAAGCCCUGGGCUCAACCUGGGAACGGCAUUUGAAACUGGCGGACUAGAGUUUAGUAGAGGGGAGUGGAAUUUCAGGUGUAGCGGUGAAAUGCGUAGAUAUCUGAAGGAACACCAGUGGCGAAGGCGACUCCCUGGACUAGAACUGACGCUGAGUACGAAG